This 469-nucleotide ribosomal RNA is filed under the name uncultured bacterium. RNAcentral describes it as "partial 16S ribosomal RNA". It matches the Rfam family "Bacterial small subunit ribosomal RNA", at positions 28 to 507 of the family's 1533-position model. The record is from RNAcentral.
GACGAACGCUGGCGGCGUGCUUAACACAUGCAAGUCGAACGGAAAGGCCCUGCUUGCAGGGUGCUCGAGUGGCGAACGGGUGAGUAACACGUGGGUGAUCUGCCCCUUAUUUUGGGAUAAGCCUGGGAAACUGGGUCUAAUACUGGAUAGGACCAUGCUGUAGGUGGUGUGGUGGAAAGAUUAGUUUCGGUAAGGGAUGAGCUCGCGGCCUAUCAGCUUGUUGGUGGGGUAAUGGCCUACCAAGGCGUCGACGGGUAGCCGGCCUGAGAGGGGGGACGGCCACAUUGGGACUGCGAUACGGCCCCGACUCCUACGGGAGGCAGCAGUGGGGAAUAUUGCACAAUGGGCGCAAGCCUGAUGCAGCGACGCCGCGUGGGGGAUGACGGCCUUCGGGUUGUAAACUCCUUUCAGCCAUGACGAAGCCCUUGUGGUGACGGUAGUGGUAGAAGAAGCACCGGCUAACUACGUG